Lates calcarifer (barramundi perch) is the source of this 607-nucleotide long non-coding RNA. RefSeq lists it as uncharacterized. The record is from RefSeq and is a predicted model, not a curated record. NCBI's taxonomy places the organism in Eukaryota, Metazoa, Chordata, Actinopteri, Centropomidae. The transcript is spliced from 5 exons.
GAGAGGGAGGCGAGGGAUUUAAGGAAAUAACAUGGGAACUGGUGCAGAGGAAGAAAGUGAGAGUGAGCUCUCUUUUUGUCUCUGACUGUACAAGGAGAGCUCAGUUUCUAUGGGAUCAGCCAGCCAGAGGAGCCUUGAAGUCGGAGAGGAAAAGGAAGCAAAGCCAGGUGUGCAGGGGGAACAUGAUGGGCCCCGAGGUUGGGGCUGAGAGGCAAACAAUGGAACUUGGCAGCGUGGGCGCAUGAACCUGCAAAUGAUAUCUACCGGGGUUUGGACUGGAAUAUUGUCAAUCAGUGAGCAAGAAGAGGAGCAUGGGAUGUUGUGUGUGUGUGAAACUGACAGAAAUCAGAACAAUAUGGACAGACAACAUAGUGGGUCAUACCAGGACAAGAAGAAUACCCCAAAUCACUGCUGUUCCAUUGAAAUGUUCCACUUUAGACUAAUGUGCAACACAUGGAAGUAGGUGAACUUGACAAGAGCCAAAAGCUAUACGCAACAACAACAUCGCCUGUACCCAGUCUGAAGCCUGACUCUUGUGUGGACAUUUAGAAACCUACAGUAUGUUCCACAAUUUGUACAACUCCAAUUAAAGCACUGGUUUUGCUUU